Molecule: ribosomal RNA, 230 nt
Filed under: uncultured bacterium
Lineage: Bacteria
Description: partial 16S ribosomal RNA
Rfam family: Bacterial small subunit ribosomal RNA
Source: RNAcentral
UGGGUGAUCUGCCCUGCACUUCGGGAUAAGCCUGGGAAACUGGGUCUAAUACCGGAUAUGAUCAUGCGCCUCCUGGUGUGUGGUGGAAAGCUUUUGCGGUGUGGGAUGGGCCCGCGGCCUAUCAGCUUGUUGGUGGGGUAAUGGCCUACCAAGGCGUCGACGGGUAGCCGGCCUGAGAGGGUGUCCGGCCACACUGGGACUGAGACACGGCCCAGACUCCUACGGGAGCA